GGUGUUGUUUCUGUUGAUGUGGGUGUUGUCGUAAUAGUUGUAGGUGUUGUUGUUACAGUUGUAGGUGUUGUUUCUGUUGAUGUGGGUGUUGUCGUAAUAGUUGUAGGUGUUGUUUCUGUUGAUGUGGAUGUUGUAAUGGUAGUAGUUGUUUCACAGUCGAUGUUGCCUUCACAACAUUUUACACGGAUUUCAUA
Molecule: long non-coding RNA, 194 nt
Organism: Megalobrama amblycephala (Wuchang bream)
Lineage: Eukaryota; Metazoa; Chordata; Actinopteri; Cypriniformes; Xenocyprididae
Exons: 3
Source: RefSeq, a predicted model, not a curated record